CCAACAGAACAGCUUUCUGGCAACUAGUUGGCAGGGCCAGCAGUUGCGCGAACAUGCGAAUGUACUGUUUAUCAACCAACACGUGCGAGGUUUGUUUUGUUUUUAGCUAGGAACCAGCCACCAAAAUGAAGUUUUCGUACAAAUUUUCCAACUUGUUGGGGACAAUUUAUCGCAAUGGUAAUUUGGUCUUCUCGCCGGAUGGCAAUUCAGUUAUUAGUCCCGUGGGCAAUCGGAUAACGGUGCACGAUUUGAAAAACAACAAAUCGCGCACCCUUUCGUUGGAGUCGCGCUAUAAUUACACAAACAUUGCGCUUUCUCCGGAUGGAAGCCUGCUGAUCGCUGUUAACGAGCAGGGCGAUGCUCAACUCAUCAGCAUGGUGUCCUGCACGGUGAUACACAGACACAAAUUCCAAACUGGCGUGCAGUGCAUCUGCUUCAGUCCCGAUGGAAAAUAUUUUGCCGUGGCGCGUGAGAAUUUGGUGCUCAUCUUCUGCGCACCAGGAGAAAUAACCGGAGAGUACAACCCGUUCGUGCUGAAACGGAGCUUCCUCGGUGGCUAUGAUGAUGUUACCUGGCUGGAUUGGUCUUCAGAUUCGCGGCUACUGGCCAUUGGCUGUCGUGACAGCUCGACAAAGAUCUGCGCUAUCAACUACACAACGAAUUUCCGCACUUACAACUUAACUGGGCACACGGAUGGCAUUGUAUCCUGCUUCUUCGAAGCCAAUAGCUUGCAUCUCAACACAAUUAGUCGGAAUGGACAGCUUUGUUUGUGGGAAUGCAGCUUGGCCCCAUCGGAUUUGGAGGAUCCAGAGAAACCCGAGGUGCAAGCUCCAAAAAGCAGGAAGCUGGAGCAAAAGGACUCGGACAAUGAAUCCGAAGACGAUGUAGAAAACGUGGUAGAGAAGCAGGCUUUAAAAGAAGACUCGGCAGCUAUCGCCCUCGAUGUGAAUGAACUGAAGGACGAGGCAGUUAAGAAGAUGCAUCCCUUCUUUUAUAAAAAGCUGGCCCGACACUAUCUGGCUGAUGAACCCCGCAAAGAGCAAAGGGAUGUCCAGUUGACGGCAGCCAACUAUAACAGGCGCACUAAGGUCUUGGUCGUGGCCUUUAGCACCGGAGCAUUCUACCUCUAUGAGUUACCCGAUGUGAACAUGAUUCAUUCGCUGAGCAUUUCCGACUAUCCCAUCUCGGCGGCGAUAUUCAACUGCACUGGUGAUUGGGUGGCCUUGGCGUCGCGUGAGAUCGGACAACUAUUGGUCUGGGAAUGGCAAAGCGAGCAGUAUAUUAUGAAACAACAGGGCCACAGCAGCGAGAUGACCUGCAUUGCUUACUCUUCAGAUGGCCAGUACAUUGCCACUGGCGGUGAGGACUCCAAGGUGAAGCUGUGGAACACCCAAAGCAGCUUCUGCUUCGUCACCUUCAGUGAGCACACCAGCGGUGUGACUGGCAUUCAGUUCAGUAGGAACAAGAAGUUUUUGGUCAGCAGCUCCCUGGAUGGCACAGUGCGUGCUUUUGAUGUCAUCAGAUAUCGAAACUUUAGGACCUUUACCUCACCGAAUCCCGCUCAAUUUUCCUGCGUUGCAGUGGACUAUUCCGGCGAGCUAGUAGUAGCAGGCGGGCAGGAUAUCUUCGACAUAUUCCUUUGGUCGGUGAAAACGGGCAAACUUCUAGAGAUCAUCAGCGGCCAUGAGGGUCCAGUGGUCUCGUUGGCUUUCUCGCCAGUAGCCACAUCUUCCACUCUGGUUUCGGGUUCUUGGGACAAGACAAUCAAGAUUUGGAACUGCCUGGAAAGCAAUAGCGAGCAUGAAACCAUUGAUGCUGUCUCAGAUGUCACAAAUGUGACAUUCAGUCCCAGCGGUGAAGAGAUUGCUGUGGCCACAUUGAGCGGUAACAUAACCAUUUUUGACAUCAAAUCUGCUAGUCAAGUGACCAGCAUAGAGGGACGCAAUGAUCUGAGCAGCGGUCGCAUGGAAACCGAUGUGAUAACAGCCAAGAAGAAUGCCCAAGCCAAUUACUUCUCUACCAUUGAGUACUCUGCGGAUGGGGAGUGUCUGUUGGCUGCUGGAAAGUCUCCCAAUAUUUGUAUUUACCAUGUUAAGGAGGCCAUCCUCCUCAAGAAAUUCCAAAUCACUCAAAACCACAGCUUAGAUGGACUGAAUGAUUAUAUCAGUCGUAAGAAUUUAAGCGAAUUCGGCAAUAUGGCUUUAGUGGAGCAACGCGAAGAGUUUGAGGGCGGAAAGGUUGCCAUUCGAUUGCCUGGUGUACGCAAAGGAGAUAUGUCCUCCAGACGCUUCCAGCCCGAGGUGAGAGUGUUCUCUGUAAAGUUCUCGCCCACUGGUCAGGCCUUUGCAGCUGCUGGAACGGAAGGCCUCUGCAUCUAUGCCUUGGAUAAAGGCGUUGUCUUUGAUCCGUUUGACUUGUCGCUGGAAGUGACGCCGAAGGCGGUCCAUGAGUCUCUCAAAAAGCUGGACUUCACAAAGGCGCUGGUUAUGUCCUUGAAGCUAAAUGAACCCAAUUUGAUUGCUUUGGUGGUGGAGCGUGUGCCGUACAGGGAUAUCGAACUAGUCUGUGCGGAUCUGUCGGCAGAAUUUGCCCAGCGCUUGUUGCAGCAAUUGGCCCGCCUCUUGCAAUCCACGCCACACAUUGAAUUCUAUCUGCAAUGGAGCUGCUGCCUACUGACACUGCAUGGAAACCAGGAUGGCGUAUUCCAGCACACUGGCCUGCUGGCCCUGCAUGAAAUCCUCUCAAGGAAAUACGAAACCCUCAAUAAAAUCUGUGACUAUAACAAGUACACUUUGAGGGUUCUCCUGGACAGGGCCGACCAGUUGGAUCAAGGAAAUGAGGAAAGCAAGAGCACCAUGGACGGGGACAGCGAUGAUGAUAUGCUGCUUAUUAGGACAAAAGAGAAUGGGUCAUCACAGAUGCAGUUUAGCGACGAGGAGGAGAGUGCCACAGAAUCCGAGGAUGACGAAUAGGAAUGUUGUUCGAUACAUCCGCCUUUUGUCGAUGUCUUGUUGAUUGUGUUUAAAUGCAAAUAUUAGUUUGUUUGAACCCUAUUCGAGAGCUCACCGAACUAUGAUCAGCUUAGUGAACACCGCAACUUAAGAGAUGGAAAGGAUACAUACUUACAAAUAUGUAAACUGGACUGGCAUAGCAGAUAAAUCUUAGAUAAAUAUGUAUAUUUAUGUUAAUAUAGUGAUAUAAUGUAUUUACAUUGUGUCUGUAUUUUCAUAUCAAAUAUAAACUCGAUUUAGCUUAACAAUAA
RNA transcript from Drosophila pseudoobscura, 3262 nucleotides. It is a transcript of the gene named periodic tryptophan protein 2 homolog, with no coding region annotated. The record is from RefSeq and is a predicted model, not a curated record. NCBI's taxonomy places the organism in Eukaryota, Metazoa, Arthropoda, Insecta, Diptera, Drosophilidae. The transcript has 11 exons.